This 252-nucleotide ribosomal RNA is filed under the name uncultured bacterium. RNAcentral describes it as "partial 16S ribosomal RNA". It matches the Rfam family "Bacterial small subunit ribosomal RNA", at positions 524 to 776 of the family's 1533-position model. The record is from RNAcentral.
UACGGAGGGUGCGAGCGUUGUCCGGAAUCAUUGGGCGUAAAGGGCGCGUAGGUGGCGGCUUAAGCGUGCGGUGAAAGCUCGGGGCUCAACCCCGAGUCGGCCGUGCGAACUGAGUCGCUUGAGCACUGUAGAGGCAGGCGGAAUUCCGGGUGUAGCGGUGGAAUGCGUAGAGAUCCGGAAGAACACCGGUGGCGAAGGCGGCCUGCUGGGCAGUAGCUGACACUGAGGCGCGACAGCGUGGGAGCAAACAGG